ACGGCCGCAAGGUUAAAACUCAAAUGAAUUGACGGGGGCCCGCACAAGCGGUGGAGCAUGUGGUUUAAUUCGAUGCAACGCGAAGAACCUUACCUGGUCUUGACAUCCACGGAAGUUUUCAGAGAUGAGAAUGUGCCUUCGGGAACCGUGAGACAGGUGCUGCAUGGCUGUCGUCAGCUCGUGUUGUGAAAUGUUGGGUUAAGUCCCGCAACGAGCGCAACCCUUAUCCUUUGUUGCCAGCGGUCCGGCCGGGAACUCAAAGGAGACUGCCAGUGAUAAACUGGAGGAAGGUGGGGAUGACGUCAAGUCAUCAUGGCCCUUACGACCAGGGCUACACACGUGCUACAAUGGCGCAUACAAAGAGAAGCGACCUCGCGAGAGCAAGCGGACCUCAUAAAGUGCGUCGUAGUCCGGAUUGGAGUCUGCAACUCGACUCCAUGAAGUCGGAAUCGCUAGUAAUCGUGGAUCAGAAUGCCACGGUGAAUACGUUCCCGGGCCUUGUACACACCGCCCGUCACACCAUGGGAGUGGGUUGC
This 536-nucleotide ribosomal RNA is filed under the name Escherichia coli. Its description in RNAcentral is "bacterial SSU rRNA". It matches the Rfam family "Bacterial small subunit ribosomal RNA", at positions 882 to 1418 of the family's 1533-position model. RNAcentral also lists the same sequence under 1 other name. The record is from RNAcentral. Lineage: Bacteria; Pseudomonadati; Pseudomonadota; Gammaproteobacteria; Enterobacterales; Enterobacteriaceae.